This 686-nucleotide ribosomal RNA is filed under the name Exiguobacterium sp. B2(2022). RNAcentral describes it as "partial 23S ribosomal RNA". It matches the Rfam family "Bacterial large subunit ribosomal RNA", at positions 2240 to 2925 of the family's 2925-position model. The record is from RNAcentral. Lineage: Bacteria; Bacillati; Bacillota; Bacilli; Caryophanales.
CCGGCUGGAGGACCGUGUCAGGCGGGUAGUUUGACUGGGGGGGUCGCCUCCUAAACAGUAACGGAGGCGCCCAAAGGUUCCCUCAGAAUGGUUGGAAAUCAUUCGAAGAGUGCAAAGGCAGAAGGGAGCUUGACUGCGAGACCUACAAGUCGAGCAGGGACGAAAGUCGGGCUUAGUGAUCCGGUGGUUCCGCAUGGAAGGGCCAUCGCUCAACGGAUAAAAGCUACCCUGGGGAUAACAGGCUGAUCUCCCCCAAGAGUCCACAUCGACGGGGAGGUUUGGCACCUCGAUGUCGGCUCAUCGCAUCCUGGGGCUGGAGUAGGUCCCAAGGGUUGGGCUGUUCGCCCAUUAAAGCGGUACGCGAGCUGGGUUCAGAACGUCGUGAGACAGUUCGGUCCCUAUCCGUCGUGGGCGCAGGAAAUUUGAGGAGAGCUGUCCUUAGUACGAGAGGACCGGGAUGGACGCACCGCUGGUGUACCAGUUGUUCCGCCAGGAGCAUCGCUGGGUAGCUACGUGCGGACGGGAUAAGUGCUGAAAGCAUCUAAGCAUGAAGCCCCCUCCGAGAUGAGAUUUCCCUUUGAGCAAUCAAGAAAGACCCCUCAGAGACGAUGAGGUAGAUAGGUCAUGGGUGGAAGCGUGGUGACACGUGGAGCUGAAUGAUACUAAUCGGUCGAGGCUUUGAUCUA